This 549-nucleotide ribosomal RNA is filed under the name Brachybacterium sp. sed254-2. RNAcentral describes it as "bacterial SSU rRNA". It matches the Rfam family "Bacterial small subunit ribosomal RNA", at positions 80 to 643 of the family's 1533-position model. The record is from RNAcentral. Lineage: Bacteria; Bacillati; Actinomycetota; Actinomycetes; Micrococcales; Dermabacteraceae.
UGCACCGCCUGAUUAGUGGCGAACGGGUGAGUAACACGUGAGUAACCUGCCCUCCACUUCGGGAUAACCUCGGGAAAUCGUGGCUAAUACCGGAUAUGAGCACUCAUCGCAUGGUGGGUGUUGGAAAGAUUUAUCGGUGGGGGAUGGACUCGCGGCCUAUCAGUUUGUUGGUGAGGUGAUGGCUCACCAAGACGAUGACGGGUAGCCGGCCUGAGAGGGCGACCGGCCACACUGGGACUGAGACACGGCCCAGACUCCUACGGGAGGCAGCAGUGGGGAAUAUUGCACAAUGGGCGAAAGCCUGAUGCAGCGACGCCGCGUGGGGGAUGACGGCCUUCGGGUUGUAAACCCCUUUCAGUAGGGAAGAAGCGAGAGUGACGGUACCUGCAGAAGAAGCGCCGGCUAACUACGUGCCAGCAGCCGCGGUAAUACGUAGGGCGCAAGCGUUGUCCGGAAUUAUUGGGCGUAAAGAGCUUGUAGGUGGCUUGUCGCGUCUGCCGUGAAAACCCGAGGCUCAACCUCGGGCGUGCGGUGGGUACGGGCAGGCUA